UCCAGUCCACUCUUUACAAAAAUAAUAAUAAUAUCACGCAACAUUCACGUCUGAACUCGACUUGGGCGCGCGUAGCAGAUUCGUCCUCUGCUGCAAACACACAACUGCUGGAAAUAAUUUUGCAAAUAUGCAAAGAAUAAAAAAGUGAUACAUGUUACUGGAGAAGACUCCUCCUGAGGAGACAUAGCUGGGGUUUUGUUUUGUUUUGUUAAAAAAAUACAAAAUAC
Podarcis muralis (Common wall lizard) is the source of this 227-nucleotide non-coding RNA. Lineage: Eukaryota; Metazoa; Chordata; Lepidosauria; Squamata; Lacertidae. The record is from RefSeq and is a predicted model, not a curated record.